AUUGAACGCUGGCGGCAGGCUUAACACAUGCAAGUCGAGCGGGGUGAUGGUGCUUGCACUAUCACUUAGCGGCGGACGGGUGAGUAAUGCUUAGGAAUCUGCCUAUUAGUGGGGGACAACAUCUCGAAAGGGAUGCUAAUACCGCAUGCGUCCUACGGGAGAAAGCAGGGGAUCACUUGUGACCUUGCGCUAAUAGAUGAGCCUAAGUCGGGUUAGCUAGUUGGUGGGGUAAAGGCCUACCAAGGCGACGAUCUGUAGCGGGUCUGAGAGGAUGAUCCGCCACACUGGGACUGGGACACGGCCCAGACUCCUACGGGAGGCAGCAGUGGGGAAUAUUGGACAAUGGGGGGAACCCUGAUCCAGCCAUGCCGCGUGUGUGAAGAAGGCCUUAUGGUUGUAAAGCACUUUAAGCGAGGAGGAGGCUCUUUUGGUUAAUACCCAAGAUGAGUGGACGUUACUCGCAGAAUAAGCACCGGCUAACUCUGUGCCAGCCGCCGCGGUAA
This 503-nucleotide ribosomal RNA is filed under the name uncultured bacterium. Its description in RNAcentral is "partial 16S ribosomal RNA". It matches the Rfam family "Bacterial small subunit ribosomal RNA", at positions 30 to 523 of the family's 1533-position model. The record is from RNAcentral.